CCUUGACUCUUUCAAUGUCGAAUUGACUACGAAUAUUUUACUGUUCUUUCUAAUAUCGUUCUACAACAUCUAAGUAAUAUAUUUGUCAAUGACUUUCAUGUUCGAUUAGGCAGUGUAAAAGUUUAUAAAAAUACUGCAAGUAAUGUCAUUGAAUCUAUGUCUUUGUUUAAAAGUAGCCUAUGUUACAACAGCACUUGCAUAUCAAGAAAUGUGCUGUUUAACUGAAAUAUUUGCCACUAGAUGGCAGAACAUGUCCGAUUUCACUGCGCAACGGGUUGAGCAAUCAGAUACGGCUCAUUAAACGCAUAAAUGGUUCAGUGUUCACUACGGUGUUAAUCUAUUCAAGUUUUUCAACAAGGUGGGACGGUUUCGAGAUAACAAGAUGAUAAGUGAACUUGAUAACAGUUCUUGCCCAUUACCAAGGAAUCUCGUUAAGCUCUAAAUAACGAUAUAGAACCGUAUUUCCCGGAUGGAUCCAAAGGUAGAAAUUUCGUAUUAACCGCUAGAGAUACGAAGUCACCAUUCGUCACGCGCGCAGAGCAUGCCGCGCAAGCGGGUUCGUUUUUUAAAAUAAAAACUUGCAGUGCGAUAUCGUGGAGGAAGAAUUUGUAUUUCGAAUGCAGGACCGUGUGCAACGAGGCGGAAGUGGUCCGUUGUCGGCACUGCAACGCCAAAAUUCGAUUAAAGUUCUCGCGCAUGGUCCGAAGGAAAUCCUGUUUUCUCAAAUUUCCCGGAGUCUGUCAGGUGGCACCACGGCGUUCACCGGUCCGGGGUACAUCGCAUCGUACAAUACGAGAGCAGUGCGAUCGCUUUUCUAGAUCAAACGUAAGUGCGCGCGUGUGGUUCGUGUGUGUAUACAUACAUGUGCCAUCCUCUGCGUCGACGUUGAACGGAGGAGAAGAGGACUCGGGCCAACAGAAGCCGGAACCGAAAAAUGGAUGCGACGCCACUGCGACUCAUUUCCGUACUGCUUUUGUUCGCCUACACCACGUCACACUUCAAUCAUGCAAAAAACGGACCCAAUUACUACGGCACGCCAAUUGGCACGUUUAAAGUGUACGGUCACGGGAUUAAGGGCGACGUGUACCUCGUGGACAGCUCGCAAAUUUUUAUAAAGGACUUCUGCUACGAUGGAACUGGACCGGACGCGUACUUCUGGGUUGGAAACACCGCUGCACCCAGUCCGCAGGGUUACAUCGUGCCGUAUCCAGAAGUGGAUGAGAACAUCGAUCCACCUGUGCUGAAAUCGUACAACUAUACGGACAUACUUCUGAAGCUACCUGACGGGAAGCAGAUACGGGACAUCAAAUGGCUGAGUGUUUGGUGCCGUCGAUUUACCGUCAACUUUGCCGACGUGUACAUCAAGCCGGAUCUCGCGGUGCCCAAGACAAAAGUGUUGCCGGAAUUUUCGAGGUUGGCUCACGGCCUUCGAAGCGAGAACAUCACCAUCCUAGAUAGCAAAACUUUCUACAUCCCUAAUUUGCAUUACGACGGUGCUGGUCCAGACGCUUACUUCUGGGUAGGAAACGGCACAGAACCCAACACGUUCGGCAUCAAGGUGCCCAACGAGAGGAAAAGUUUGGCUCCGUUGAAAGGGUACCAAGGAGAGGACAUCGAAAUUGUUUUACCCGGAAACUUGACCGUGUACGACAUCGACUGGUUAGCCGUAUGGUGCGUGCAGUACAAGCACAAUUUUGGACAUGUCCUCAUUCCAAAGGACAUCUACGUCCCGCCAGCCCUUGGACAAACUAAAAUCACGCCAUCUUGGUGGUACGAUCCUACGAGCAGUACUCCAGAACCGUCCCUGUCCAACUGCAAAGAGAUGUUGGACGGUCGAGUUCAGGUGCAAUGGGAAAUGAUAGGGGACGACAUCCAGAUAAAAGUGUCAGGACGCAUCAGAGAGGAUCAGUAUGUCGCCUUCGGUUUGUCGGGUCACGAUGGAAAGGCUCAAAUGAUCGGUGGCGAUGUGGUCGUCGUUGCUUACAACAACAGAACUGGGGAAUUCAUCGCGGAGGACUAUUACAUAUCAGAAUAUGCGCAGUGCGAUGGCAGGAAAGGUGUGUGUCCGGACGAGAGGGUUGGAGGGAAGAACGAUGCCGCUCUUGUGCAUGGAGAACGGAAAAACGGCGUGACUACAGUGACGUACAUGAGACCAAUGAGAACGAACGAGCCCGUGAAGGACAGGAUGAUACCGUACACGGAAACCAGCGUAAUCGCGGCAAUAGGUCCUCUGAAUGUUAGAGGAGAAGCUAAUGCUCACGAGAGCUUCGACAAGACGACCGAGGACAUUCGUAUUGAUUUUACGUCGAGAAACGUCCACGAGUGUACAAAUUCCCUCGACAACCUUCCGGAUAAGUCUGAAGUCAAACCCUGGCCACAGAUAGUAAUUACCAAUGAGACUACGUUCAGCGCGAGGAUCGGACCGGCUGCUGGCAGAAGAGGAUACUCGAGCAUCACAGGGCAACCUAGCUGGGGCAUUGCGUGGUACAUCAAUGACAUGCUGAUCCCAGAAAUCACUGUGGAGAGAGGACAAACCUACACGUUCAUAGUGGAGGGUGGAAAUGAUCCUGAAAUUCCAGCUAGGUACCAUCCGUUCUAUAUCACCGACAGCCCAGUAGGUGGAUUCGGCCAAAAGACUGAGGAAGAGCAAAAAGAACAGAAAGUAUUCGCCGGAGUGAAAUACGACGCCGAUGGACGCCCUUAUCCAACCGCGGCUGGUCGUUACUGCGAAUGGGUUCACAAGACAGUGGAUAUGAGUGCGGACAUGAAAACCUUUGAGAAUUUCUUCGAAACCCUUAGACUGCAAUGUGACGAAGGUAAACCGGCCAAACUCAAUUGGACCGUGACGGAAGACACCCCAGAUUUGGUAUAUUACCAGUGUUACCAGCACAAUCACUUGGGCUGGAAGAUACACGUUAUCAGCAACGCACACGUAACCGUGCCAUUGAUAUCGAUGGUUCUAACGACGCUCUUUGUCGGUAUCUUAAACUUCAUAAGAUGAAUGCGUUAAUCUUUAAUCGCAAACUACGCGGGACAGAAGACUACAGGAAAAGAGAAAACACGAGGAGAAAGAAACUACAUAGGAAAAUAACGACGGUGAUAAAAAAAAAGAAGAAAAUAAAACAAAAGGCGAUUGUUUAAAAUCGGCUGAACACGAUACAAGGUUGUAAGAAAGUACUUAGCUCGUAAGGUUUAAUUGUAACGUAAAAAGAUUAGCAAAAUAUUUUUAAGAUCUAUCAGAUUCAAUAUUUCAUAUUAUACGAUAUAUAUGUAUAUGUAUAUUUAUACAUAUACACACACACGUAUAUAUAUAUAUACAUUAUAAAUAUAUAUAUACAUGAAUACACACAUAUUAACACGGCACACGAGGAGUACGAGAUUCGAGGUGAUUUUUAAACUGUUUAAGAAUUUAAGAAACUACGUACUUUAGGGAAAGGAGAGGGAAAUAAUUCUCUGACAAUAAUAAUAAAUCGAGACGUGGUGGAGUAAACGUGGAAAUUUCUGACAAUAAUGAAGACAAAAAUAAAAAGAAACGAAUGUCGUUCAUGCGGGAGGAUUUGCUGAUUGUUAGAGCUGAUUCGAAAGAGUGUUGCGUUGAUGAAUGACGAAGCGAAAGAACGAGAAGAGAGAAAGAGAGAGAGAGAACGAGAGAGAGCGUAUCCGUGGUACAUGUACAAUGUAAAUUUUGCACAAAGCUAUAUAGUUGAAUAUACGAUGUAACUUUAAAAAUCGAGUAGCACGUAAGGUAUUACAUUUAUAAAUGCUGUCGACUUGACAAUAAUACGUAGGUUAGCGAACGAUGAAGGAAUCGCUGAAGAAAAAAAUAAUUGAGAAACCAGAAUUAUGUACAAGGUAAACGUCAGACAUAUAUAAUUAUGUAAUUUAAAGGAGAUACAAGUUACAAACUAUCCCCUAUAUACGUGUAACAAUGCUAUAAUAUGUACAUACUAUAGAGUGGACCUUCCUAAGAAAACGGAAUGAAAGUAUAAAAUGUGCCUUGGGUACAGAUAAUGAACUUCUUUAAUUACACGAAUUAGGAACCACUCGGACAGGAGAUACCCUGCGGUACUUAGGAACUGGUUUCUUGCUCGUACGUCGCUAAAUUUCGCUUCAUGGAAAAUUGCAGGGUCGAGAAAUUAAUUGCAUUCGCGAAUCACGUUCUUCUAAGUUUUCCAACUUCGCGAGUAAUUAAUAUUGAUUUCCAAAGUGUCUCUCAAUGCAACUGAUCUAUCGACUCUGCCGGAAUGAAUCCUGCAUCCAAAAUCAAAAAUAAAGGACGUACGCAAGGAACGAAAGAGAGUCAACAACCAAGAAAUCAGAGAAAUACAUAAUCAUUCUAGAAACGUAGGCGUGAAAGUAGCGGAAUCUCUUUCUCUCGAUACAAAUUCGAUGCUCUCCACAGUGUCCAGAUUCUAAGUAACGGAGUGUCCUCAAAAUUGCCAGCUGCGAAACAUUCUUUACAAUUCCAAUUACUUAUCACACGAAGACCAGUCUGUAUUUAAACUACAUACGCAAACAUACCUAACAUAAACAUGUAUACAUAUAUAUAUAAACGCAUAUAAUUAAAACGCGCAUAAAGUAUAUGCAUACGUAUAAAUGAAGUUCGAGGAUUUACGUCGUUUAGCUGUCAGCGUUGCACAGUGAUUAUUCGACGUUUGUUAUCGGAGUAAUCACUAGAUAAGCAAUCGAAGUAAUUGCGUUUAUUUUUUGUUUAAUUCAUUCGCGAUGACAAACGACGAAUGUCAUCGAAUGUCGCUGCUUUAGCUUUCACGUGAAAUGCAUCAAACAUGUUAACCCUUAAAUGGCUGGAACGCCAUUAAAAAUUUUCAUAUUUAUUUUUUUAAAAUUACUUUCAAUUUAUUAUUUAUUGAGUCAUAUUAAAUUGUCGGUCUGACGACAGUGUUCUGUCUAAAAUUUGUUUAGUACAAAAUUAAAAAGUUCUGCGAGAAAUAAGAAUGAUUGCCAGCCGUUUGGGGGUUGAAGCACAAGUGCGAACUUAAUUAAACGACAAUAAGAAGUCUGGAUCCCAAGUUUUCCGGCAACACUCUGAACGAUGAUCCUCAGAAAAAGGAUUCUUACACGACUUUCUUCGCUUGCAGUUGUAUCGUCCUCGCCAUUUCCGUUCCCCUUUUGUUGUCCUGUUUCCUAAGCGAGUCCUUCGAGCGAGCAACGCGGAUUCUAGUACGUAAGCGGACGUAAAACAUCCGUUUCUGUGAACGACAAUAAUAAAAAUACGGACUUGCCGGAUCGGAAGUUAAGCGGGCUGCUUCGUGAACUCGAUGAAACGCAAAUUUUCACGCGGGUCGAAGUCCCGCUUCGAACUUAAGACAAUAUCCAGUCGAUCGUCUUGCUCGCCAAAGUCACUCGGACAAUAAAUAAUGAUAAUAAAAAGAUCCUAUAUUUUGUCUGGGGAGAACGUAUCUAUGGAUACGAUCGCUCCCGAUUUUUAUGAAAUUCGGACAAUAAUUGUGCUUAGAGUUUCUGAAGUACAAAACACCGAUGAUCGACUACUGAUGAUCGUAUAGGUCAGACAAUAAUAACGAAAGCUCUGUCGCGGGACAACAAUCUUCGAUGUAGGGAAAUUAACUUAACGAAUACGGUGGCGAUUGGAUGGUGGUCGCAAGUUUGGUACAGGGUCUAAUACAGGUUUGAAGAAAUUUUGAAAGACCUAAAAUCUUAGACUCGCUGUUCCAAAAUUUCAAGAUUCCAAGAAAUUCUAUAAACUAAAAUAACUAAGAUGAUAAUAUAAAAAUUUGCGACCAUUAACCAAGUAUCACUGUAUCUGUACGGAUCAAUUAUUCGAAGUGUAAGAUGUACAAAGUUGAAUAAGGACAGCGUACAUCGCGCUGAACCGUUGUUAACUAUAACGAUUGUACAGAACGAACGAAAGUCUUAGAUAGCGAUGUAAAAUCUGAACUUUCUCCUCUCCUUUUUCUCUUCAGUAUAAUCUACUAUAUACGUGUACAUUUUCUACGUACCAGUUUCUAUCUUCUCUAAUUCUGUCUCUCGUUUAACCUUAUUAGGACAUUAGUGAUAAGCUGUUUCGUAUGUUCGCGGAGCAGCCCCCCGUCAAUAUCCCACAAGUUGUUAGCGAUUAAGAAGCGAAUACUAGCUUAGAAGCUAAGAGAACACUUUCUUUUGUUCGUUGUAUCGACGUGUAAUUUAAAGGAGAAGAGAAGAAUGCGAAUGGUUAAGAUCGAUCGUCGAUCGAGACGCGUGUGUCGAAUGCGAAACGUGAUUUUCCGAAUCGUUAGCGAUAUUCAAGUCGUUUUGUGUCUCUCUUGUAGUUAAGAUUCAAGAUAGCCUUUUCACUCGUGUCACUUUUCUUCCGACCACCGCGACGGUCUCGUGGAAGUCGACGAACUCGAGGAUCUUAACACUUUGAUCGUAUGUUUCAUAAAAUUUAUUUCCACCUAAGAGGCAGACCUGUUACUUGAUAGAAAUUUAAACAUCUGUUCUUGAAUGUUAUCUGAUUACCAUUCCUUAGAGAAGCCAACUUUCCUAAUUUUAAAUUCUCCAAUAAAUGGAACAGAGUCAAAGUGUUAAGAGAAGAAAACCCAAUCCGAUAGAAUAAGAUUCUAUCUUGUUAUCGUUGAAUUCGGUCCAGCUGUCUAAAAGUCUCUCCUUGUAUAGCGUCGGUAGACGAAUUUUAUCAUUCUUCUCUCCUCUUCCUUUCGCGAGGUCACAUAUCCAAACGUAUCCCGUGUAACAUAAGGUUUCUAUUUCGUUUUCAAACAGCGGACUCGUUAAAUUUAAAUGUAAAUCUAUUAGGUAGAAAGUUGGGCGUCCUCGAGAUCGGCGCCCGUGCGUCCGAUUUAUCCCAAACCGAGGAGUAUUUCAGAAAGUCGAUUAAGAAAGUAUCAAAAUGAAAGUGAAGAGAUGUGUGCGGUGAUCAACUUAGAGAUAAGCGAAGAACAACAUUCGAAAUAGCGAUUUUAAUGGUGUCGAUUAAACCAAACGGAUGUAUAACACACUGUCAAUAUGUAUGUAACCGAGAAGGUUGUCCUCUUGUUUCGAUUAUCGUAGAGGAAGGCUUUUUAACUGGAUAUCUUUUUCAAUCUUAUCCUCGUGGUAGAAUAUAUUUUCACACAGUUUAAGAACAGGACGUAGAAUGCCGGAGAACGGUUAAUCGGUGCUUUCGUCAGCUCUUUGCACUCUUCGAGCACGCUGGUUUUCUUGUAUGUUGUUCGAAUAAUACGUAAGUGGCGAGUGAUAAUUCACGAUUGCGAUAUGGAGAACGUACAAAAAAUAUAGAGUCGUGUAACUGGUGGUACAAACCUGAUAUUAAGAUAUUUUCUUUGUGGCAUAUCGUGUUAUUUAACAAAAUCCUAGUUACAUCGAUAUUUGAAAAAUAUCUAAAACAAUUUUUCAAUAUUUUCAUUUAAAAAUCAAUCACGUUUUGUAUCACCGUUUAAACGACUCUCGAUACAUAUAUACAUAUUAUAUAUAAAUAUACAUAUAUGACAAGAAUUGAUUCGUUACGAUAGACCGUCCUGAGUUGUGUUUAAAAAUUUUCAAAGAUAUAUAUUUUUGAACGACGAGUAUCGUUGAACGAAUGUUACAAUAUUUUAUCGUCAAAGACGGAGGUCUUGAUUGUUCUUGAAUGGUGUCUCAAGAAUUCGAAUUCGAUUGAAAGUAAUAGAAUAGCUCAAUAAGUGAACGUUGAAAGAGUGCAAAGAGUUGAAAGAGAUGGAGUCCCACGAAGAAUCAUUUCCAACUAUCCGUAGAUAAAUCGUUCUCGAACAUGCUGACACGAAAUCCAUUUAGCGAUUAGUACGUCCCGUAGAGAGAUAAACUUAGUUCGUGAAUUAACGAAGAAACGAAAACAAAAAGAUAAAAAAAAAAGGGAAGAAACAAGAUGAAAUUUAUCGACUACUUUAUCCGUACGGAAGAAGGGAGGAACAGUUGAAUCGAAAGGUUUUGGCGAACUUAUCAAGCUCUCGCGUUAAAAUGAAACAGCAAAACAUAAAACGAAUAAAAAAAAUAAUGAUGUAACGUAGCAUUAUCGAGAAUGGUAAACAAUUGUCAACCGUUUUUUUCAACGUUUUACGUGUUAGACUAUAUAGAUUAAUCAACAAGCGUUAAUCUGUCUUGCGAAGAAAAGAGGAAAACGGAAAGCAUAUAUAUAUAAUAUAAUAUAUACACGCAUUAUCAAAACACAAAGAGAAGAAGAACGCUAUUCGCGUAUUCCGACUGAAUAAAGCUCGAAAGCCACAGUACGAAAUAUAAUACUAUAAUGAGAGAGAAAAGAAAAUAUAAAAAGACUGCUCUCGCCGGCAAAAGCAUCAUUGUCCAAUGGAAAUAGAUUUAGAAACACCAAACAUGCACUACGCGUCGCGAAACAUUUUGGUUUCUUUUAUUUUUUUAUUUCUUUCUUUAGUUCGUUCGAUGCGUACAUUUUUCUUUCCAAUGAAAUACGAGUAAGGAAUUUUGUACGUAUUUCUCCAUUGUAUGCAGAUCCACGUCCGACGGUUACGAACGAAGCGAGAGAU
This 8492-nucleotide unclassified non-coding RNA is filed under the name Megachile rotundata (alfalfa leafcutting bee). RNAcentral's name for it is "protein Skeletor, isoforms B/C, transcript variant X6". The record is from RNAcentral. Lineage: Eukaryota; Metazoa; Arthropoda; Insecta; Hymenoptera; Megachilidae.